AAAGCAAAAUCUCUUAUUCAUUCUCUCUCUAACAACUUUUCUCUCUCUUUAUUUUUCCUUCGUGUUCUCUCUCUAGAUACAGCGAGGAAGAACAGGGCACAUACUGAGACAAGAAAUAUAAAUUAUUAAGUGAAAUAUAAAGAAAGAAAGAAAAAACAGAAGCUGAGAAGAGAAUAAGAAGAAUAUUUGAUUGAAGAGAAGAGGAGAGGAAAGAAAGUUUUUCUUUUCCCUUGUUUUUUGUGUAGUGAGGGAUAUAAAGAUAUUUUAUUGGUCCGGUUUAUCGAAGCAAAAAACUAGAAGAAUUAAAGAGAAAGAGAGUUAAGAAAUUUGGGGUUUUUCGGGUUCUUGUUUUGAUUAAAAUCAAAGCUUUGUAGAUUUGAGUAACUCUCUUUUUCUUUUGUUUCUCCUUUGACUCUGUACCUGUUGGGAUUUUCUUAAAACUCUGGGAUUCAUGCGAAAGCCAUUCCAUUGCUGCUUUGAAGAGAUUGCAAAUCUAAACUCCUUGCUUGGCUUCGGUUUUCAGAGCUAUAUGUUCAGGAACAGAACUUACUCUUUCUUAUUUGGGUACAAUGAGGAGCAUGAAGCUAAAAGCAAGCAGCCAAGUUGGGGAUAAACUUCUGAUUGCCUUGAGCUAUACAGCUGAAUAUUUGUGCUUUUCUUUGUAACUGUAGUUUACUUAAUAUUCAUGUUGUUUUAGGUAGUGGCUGCAGUUUUAUGAGUGAGUAUUAGAUAGUGAACUUUGAAGUAUGGUACCAUCGGGGUCUUCUACUCCUAUAGGUGGUGUGCAGUCUGUUACGCCUUCUCUUUUGCGGUCGAGUUCUGGGAUGCUAGGAGCCCAGGGGGGUAGCCUUCCUUCUCAAACUGGAUACCCUUCAUUAGUGUCGCCUCGCACUCAGUUUAGUAAUAUGAAUAUGCUUGGCAAUGUGCCAAAUGUGUCUUCCCUUCUUAAUCAGUCCUUUGGAAAUGGGGUUCCAAACCCUCAGCUUUCUGGUCCGGGGAGUAGCCAGCGUGGAGGAAUUGACUCAGGGGCUGAAUCUGAUCCACUUUCAAAUGUAGGUAAUGGGAUGGGGUUUAAUGCUCCCUCAUCAUCGUUUGUUCCAUCAAACAUGGCAAACCCUGGUUCAUCUGGUCAAGUUCAAGUUCAGCAAUUUCCAAACAUUUCUGGUAACCAUAUGUUACCGGACCAGCAGCACUCCCAUCAACUAGAAUCACCACAUUUCCAACAUGGUCAACAAGCAUUGCAACAGUUCUCUGCUCCUCACAACACCCAGCAAGGACAACAGCAGCAGCAGUUUCAAUCUAUUAGAGGAGGGUUGGCUGGUGUUGGUGGGGCGGUCAAAUUGGAGCCACAAGUGACUAAUGAUCAGCUUGGCCAGCAGCAACAUCAACAGCAGCAACAGUUGCAAUCACUGAGGAAGCUUGCUCCUGUGAAAUUGGAACCACAACAAAUACCACCCAUGAGAACUUUGGCACAGGUAAAAAUGGAACCCUCACAUUCAGAUCAGUCCUUGUUUUUGCACCAACAACAACAGGAGCCGCAGCAACAACAGCAGUUACACCACAUGUCGAGGCAGCCCUCACCAGCCCAAAUUAAUCUUUUGCAUCAGCAAAGGCUGUUGCAGCUACAACACCACCAACAGCAACUUUUAAAAGCAAUGCCUCAACAAAGGUCUCAAUUGCCACAGCAGUUUCAACAGCAGAAUUUGCCUUUGAGAUCACCUGUGAAACCAGUGUAUGAGCCUGGGAUGUGUGCCAGGCGUCUGACACAUUACAUGUAUCAACAACAACAUAGACCUGAAGACAACAAUAUUGAAUUUUGGAGAAAAUUUGUUGCCGAGUACUUUGCUCCAAAUGCAAAGAAGAAGUGGUGUGUUUCUAUGUAUGGAAGUGGCCGCCAAACAACUGGUGUUUUCCCUCAGGAUGUAUGGCAUUGUGAAAUAUGUAAUCGCAAACCAGGACGUGGUUUUGAGGCGACUGUUGAGGUUCUCCCUAGGCUUUUCAAAAUUAAAUAUGAGAGUGGUACUCUGGAAGAACUUCUUUAUGUUGAUAUGCCUCGUGAGUAUCAGAAUUCAUCUGGUCAAAUUGUCCUGGACUAUGCAAAAGCAAUACAAGAAAGUGUUUUUGAGCAACUUCGUGUUGUUCGUGAUGGUCAGCUUCGGAUAGUUUUCUCACCCGAUCUGAAGAUAUGUUCUUGGGAAUUUUGUGCUCGACGUCAUGAAGAACUUAUCCCUAGAAGAUUGUUGAUACCUCAGGUUAGUCAGCUUGGGGCUGCUGCUCAGAAGUAUCAAGCAGCAACUCAAAAUGCAUCAACAAAUUUAUCUGCUCCAGAUUUGCAGAAUAACUGUAACUUGUUUGUAGCAUCAGCUCGGCAACUGGCAAAAGCCUUGGAAGUGCCGUUGGUAAAUGAUUUGGGUUACACAAAGAGAUAUGUACGUUGUCUUCAGAUAUCUGAAGUCGUUAAUAGUAUGAAGGACUUGAUUGAUUACAGUAGAGAGACGAAGACUGGACCUAUGGAGAGUUUGGCCAAGUUCCCUCGAAGAACAAGUACUUCAUUUGGUAUUCAAGCACAACAGCCUGAGGAACAACUACAACAGCAGCAGCUGACCCCACAACAGCAAACAGUGGCCCAGAACACCAGUAGUCAAAGUUCUACCCAGGUUUCUGGGAUGCAUCUCGUUGCUAACAAUGGUGGGGUUAACAUAAAUAACUCUCUUAGUGCUGCAUCUGCAUCAACAUCUGCUGGUACCGUUGGGCUUCUACCCCAGAAUUCCAUGAACUCCAGGCAGCAGAAUUCUAUGAAUAAUGCAAGCAGUCCCUAUGGUGGAAACUUUGUUCAGAUUGCUUCCCCUGGAUCAUCUAGUACAAUUCCACAAUCACAAGCGAAUCCUUCUCCAUUUCAGUCACCAACGCCCUCAUCUAAUAAUCCUACUCAAGUUCCUCAUGAUGCUUUAGCAGCUACUGGUCACAUGAACUCAGCUAAUUCUCCCGUGAAUAUGCCUGUGCAGCAGUCAGCUCUUUCCAGUGAGGCUGACCCAAGUGAAUCGCAAAGCUCUGUUCAGAAAAUCAUUCAUGAAAUAAUGUCUGCCCAACUGAAUGGUACGGGAGGUAUGGUUGGUGUUGGCACUCUAGGCAAUGAUGUGAAGAGUUUAAAUGGAAUGUUGCCAACAGGUAACAGUACAGUUGUCAAUGGUGGCAACAGUAUGGUGGGUAAUGGAACUGUCAACAAUAGUUCUGGUAUAGGUAGUGGUGGGUUUGGCACGAUGGGUGGUGGGCGGCUUGGCCAAUCUGCUAUAGUGAAUGGAAUCAGAGCUGCCAUGGGUAAUAACUCGAUGAUGAAUGGAAGGGUUGGUAAUGGCAUGGCAUCAAUGGCUCGGGAUCAAGGUAUGAAUCACCAACAGCAACAGGAUUUGGGGAACCAGCUACUGAGUGGACUAGGAGCAGUUAAUGGUUUUAAUAGUCUUCAAUAUGAUUGGAAAACUUCUCCAUGAAAGAUGGCCAAAAUGAAAGGUGAUGGAUGUUGGGGUGUAGCUGCUGUGUUUUGCAGCCAUGAAAACCAGCGGGUGGCCUCUGGCGCAGCACUAUAUGAUAGGAGAUAGAUGAAAGGGCCGCUUCCCUCCCCUUUGUACCAAUUUCAGAAAAGGUUAAUGCAAACCUUUUGCACCAUGGUUGAAGCCAAAGAUGUAAAGAAAGAUUGAUAUGCAUGAAGACGAGGAUUGAACCCAACUUUUUUUCAGGAAA
Gossypium raimondii (Peruvian cotton) is the source of this 3738-nucleotide RNA transcript. It is a transcript of the gene named transcriptional corepressor SEUSS, with no coding region annotated. The transcript is spliced from 11 exons. The record is from RefSeq and is a predicted model, not a curated record. NCBI's taxonomy places the organism in Eukaryota, Viridiplantae, Streptophyta, Magnoliopsida, Malvales, Malvaceae.